This is a non-coding RNA of Delphinapterus leucas (beluga whale), 796 nucleotides long. Lineage: Eukaryota; Metazoa; Chordata; Mammalia; Artiodactyla; Monodontidae. The record is from RefSeq and is a predicted model, not a curated record.
GCCAACGGCGUCCUCGGAACUGGCGGGGUCGGAGCGCAGCUCUCGCGGCCGGGACGCGGCUCGGGGACCCUGAUUCUUACUUUGCCGGAACAAACUGCUUGUCUUGAGUGGAAACGUUGGGAGCUGACACCAUCGGAUUUGAGCUCCAGAAAACUGAAGAAGAAGGAACAUUGCCCAACUCCAAUUCCUUUUGGUAUUUUCUAUGUUUUUGACUGCUGGCUUACGCCCAAAUUUCUUGGAAUCUGGGGUAUUUGAUAAUUUUGGCAUCUGUAGGCCUCACUCUUCUUCACUCCACCCCUCUCCUGAUGUUCAGGACACAUGGAAGGGACUCGGGAAAUGUUUGGUGACCAUUGCAGAAAGAGUCCAUGAAGGUGAAUCUCAGUUCAGCCGCCACCUUUUCUGAGAAGUCCUCCUGAUCAUUCCCUUGAAUGUAACCCCUUUCCAGUUUGAUUUUCUUCUUAACACUUGUCACCAGCAGAAACUCUCAUUUAUACAUUCCGUUACCCGUUUUUCUUCGGUGUCUGGAACUACACUGGGAACUCUCUGAGGCAGAGGCUGGGUAUGUCUUGGCCACUGCUGCAUCCUCUGCAGUUUGAGCUGUGCUGUCCAGUACGGCAGCCACUGGCCACAUGUGUCUGUUAAGCUCCUGUAAUGUGGCUGCUGGAAUUGAGAUGUGCUGUGGGUGUAACCGCACACCAGAAUUUGAAGCCUUAACGUGAAAACAUGUUAACAUAAUAUAUGUGUAUAUACAUAUAUAUGUGUAUAUAUGUAUAUCUUAAUAAUUGCAAUGUGAAAA